Molecule: ribosomal RNA, 1065 nt
Filed under: Proteus mirabilis
Lineage: Bacteria; Pseudomonadati; Pseudomonadota; Gammaproteobacteria; Enterobacterales; Morganellaceae
Description: partial 23S ribosomal RNA
Rfam family: Bacterial large subunit ribosomal RNA
Source: RNAcentral
GCGGACGGCGCUGAAGCCAGUCGAAGAUACCAGCUGGCUGCAACUGUUUAUUAAAAACACAGCACUGUGCAAACACGAAAGUGGACGUAUACGGUGUGACGCCUGCCCGGUGCUGGAAGGUUAAUUGAUGGGGUCAGCCGUAAGGCGAAGCUCCUGAUCGAAGCCCCAGUAAACGGCGGCCGUAACUAUAACGGUCCUAAGGUAGCGAAAUUCCUUGUCGGGUAAGUUCCGACCUGCACGAAUGGCGUAAUGAUGGCCAGGCUGUCUCCACCCGAGACUCAGUGAAAUUGAACUCGCUGUGAAGAUGCAGUGUACCCGCGGCAAGACGGAAAGACCCCGUGAACCUUUACUAUAGCUUGACACUGAACAUUGAGCCUUGAUGUGUAGGAUAGGUGGGAGGCUUUGAAGUGUGGACGCCAGUCUGCAUGGAGCCAACCUUGAAAUACCACCCUUUAACGUUUGAUGUUCUAACCUAGGCCCAUAAACUGGGUCGGGGACCGUGUCUGGUGGGUAGUUUGACUGGGGCGGUCUCCUCCUAAAGAGUAACGGAGGAGCACGAAGGUUGGCUAAGCAUGGUCGGACAUCAUGCGGUUAGUGCAAAGGCAUAAGCCAGCUUGACUGCGAGAGUGACGGCUCGAGCAGGUACGAAAGUAGGUCUUAGUGAUCCGGUGGUUCUGAAUGGAAGGGCCAUCGCUCAACGGAUAAAAGGUACUCCGGGGAUAACAGGCUGAUACCGCCCAAGAGUUCAUAUCGACGGCGGUGUUUGGCACCUCGAUGUCGGCUCAUCACAUCCUGGGGCUGAAGUAGGUCCCAAGGGUAUGGCUGUUCGCCAUUUAAAGUGGUACGCGAGCUGGGUUUAGAACGUCGUGAGACAGUUCGGUCCCUAUCUGCCGUGGGCGUUGGAAGAUUGAGAGGGGUUGCUCCUAGUACGAGAGGACCGGAGUGAACGCACCACUGGUGUUCGGGUUGUCAUGCCAAUGGCAUUGCCCGGUAGCUAAGUGCGGAAGAGAUAACCGCUGAAAGCAUCUAAGCGGGAAACUUGCCUCGAGAUGAGUCUUCCCUGUC